AAUCAGACAUAGUACGAUAAGGUUGUAUGUCUAAAGGGUAACAGCCCAGAACAAGAGUUAAUAAGGUUCCAAAAUUAUUGUUAAGUGAAAUUAAGGCAGUAUUUAUCCCAAACAGCCAGGGAAUAGGCUUAGAAGCGGCCAUUUUCUGAAGACCUCGUAACAGAGCACUGGUUUGUUUUUUAUGGAUUAUAAUCCAUAAUAAGGAUAAAAGCACCGAAAAUUUAACGGAUCUAAACUAUAUACCGAGACCUUGUCCUUAUAUAUUAAUGUAUCCGUAUUUUACAUUGUAUAUUUGGGGUAGCGGAACAUUGGGAAGUUUAUGAUUAUGCCUUUAUAAGGCAUAAGAGAUUUAUUAUAUUUUAAUAAGUAAACAAGCCAAGCGAAAAUGCUGACAUGAGUAACGAUAAAGGGGAAUACCCUCGCCUAAAGCUUAUGGAAUUUAAUUAAAGUUACGGCCUCUAAGUUUAUUAUAUAUUUAAUAAAUAAUCAACUAUUUAUUAAUAAUCCCUAANUUAAUGUUUGAUGCGAGCAGUUUAGAAGUUUAGAAUUAAGAGUUGCUUUACAAAUUGCGUAGAUAAAACAAUUAUGAUAUAAUGAUGCAGUAUCAAAAAUUAGACCCGAAACUUAGUGAUCUUACCACAAUCAGGGUUAUAAAAGUCCGAACGGGUUAUCGUUGUAAAGAUAUCCGAAGAAUUGUGGUAAGUUAGUGAAAGACAAUACUGACUAAGAUAGCUGGUUUUCUGCGAAACCUAUAUAAGUAGGUAAUUUAAAUAGAAUAUCAGAAGGUACAGAAUUGUGAUCUCAUGCAACUAGUACUCAUUUUUCCUGUUAGGAAAAACGAAUAGAGUGCUUUUUGCGGACAUUGGGGGGUCGUGAAGACUCUAUCAGUGAGUAUUUGUUCUCGGAAGGACUAGAAAUGAAUAUUGAAUAAUCAGACAUAGUACGAUAAGGUUGUAUGUCUAAAGGGAAACAGCCCAGAACAAGAGUUAAUAAGGUUCCAAAAUUAUUGUUAAGUGAAAUUAAGGCAGUAUUUAUCCCAAACAGCCAGGGAAUAGGCUUAGAAGCGGCCAUUUUCUGAAGACCUCGUAACAGAGCACUGGUUUGUUUUUUAUGGAUUAUAAUCCAUAAUAAGGAUAAAAGCACCGAAAAUUUAACGGAUCUAAACUAUAUACCGAGACCUUGUCCUUAUAUAUUAAUGUAUCCGUAUUUUACAUUGUAUAUUUGGGGUAGCGGAACAUUGGGAGGUUUAUGAUUAUGCCUUUAUAAGGCAUAAGAGAUUUAUUAUAUUUUAAUAAGUAAACAAGCCAAGCGAAAAUGCUGACAUGAGUAACGAUAAAGGGGAAUACCCUCGCCUAAAGCUUAUGGAAUUUAAUUAAAGUUACGGCCUCUAAGUUCAUUAUAUAUUUAAUAAAUAAUCAACUAUUUAUUAAUAAUCCCUAAAGGGGUAAACGAUGAGCAAAUCUAAGAUUUAUAGAAAAUAUCAUUUUUACAUAGUGACAGAUGAUCUGGAAAACUGUAUAUCUCGUUUGCUAAAUAGUAAUAAACUAAAACAGAUGAUAUGUUUAGCAGAUGUUUUACCGUACCUAAAUACUACCACAAGUAAGCAAGUAGAGUAUACGAAGGCGUUCGAGUAAACAAUCAUUAAGGAACUCGGCAAAUUGACUCACGUAACUUCGGGAGAAGGUGGGCCGUCCCUUUUGAUUAAUAUCAGAUAUGGGAUAGGAGGCACAGAAUGGUGUUGUACGACUGUUUAAUUAAAACAAAGCACGCUGCAAAGAAAUAAAUUCGAAGUAUUGGGUGUGAUCUCUGCCCGAUGGCGGCUGGUUAUCGGAUUUGCUUAGUUGACUAAUAUAAGCUAGGCUUUGAAGGAACCCCCGUUCAAUGGCGGCCUUACAGAUGAGGGUCCUAAGGUAGCGGAAUCCCCUGGCCGUUAAAUGCGGUCUUGCAUGAAUGAUGUAACGAUACAGCAGCUGUCUCAAUGAUUGGCUCGGUGAAAUUGGAAUAACUGUGCAGAUACAGUUUACCUCUAGUUGGACGAGAAGACCCUAUGCAGCUUUACUGUUGCUAGUUACCGAAUAUGAUAUAAUGAGUUUUAGUGUAUAAGGUAAUUGCUGAGAUAAAAUUGAAACACCUUUACUUCAUUUAUCAUAUUAUAUAAACCUUACCAGGGAAUAGGUUUAGUAAUAGCGAUUUCUUAAAGAUUUUAUGUUAACACAUGAGCACUGGUUGUAAUAAUUUAUAGGAACAAUUGCUAGGUGGCAGUUUAUGCGGGGCACAGAUCCCAUAAAAAGUACCUGGGAGUAUCCAAAUUCAUUUCUGUAAAAUUGCGAUAUGCAAUUAAAUAUGUACAGGCUAGAAUACUAGAAAAAAUGUACAUAUUUUUUAUUUUUAGUCUGAAGUUGGUGUUAUUUUAAUAUUUUUUUAUUUUAUUGCUAAUUCAGUUAUAUAUCCAUUUAAGUUGGAACUUUUUUUUUAUUAAGUAAGAUUUUCACUAUUUAAAAAUAUAGAUGUAAUUAAAUUGUUAUGCCUUUGUUAUCAGCAUGGUGCAAAAAAUAAGUAUACAUAAGUUAACAGUGUGUAUAUAACAAAAGGCCUGGAUUAAUGAUUUUUAUUGUUUACUAGUGUGUCCAAACCCGAUGAAGAACUAUCAAUAUCUUAUAGACAUCUGGUUAAAUGAUAAUUACUCUACUUGUCAAGUUUAACGGCUUAAUCUUGCUUUACUGUUUGACUUACACGUCUUUCAGUCGCGUAAGCGGGGCAUAUGAUCACAAGAUGCAGAAAGGAAAGGUCUUGGAUUAUUGAAAAAGCUACGCUAGGGAUAACAGGCUAAUUUUCGCCAGAGAGUUCAAAUU
This 2852-nucleotide ribosomal RNA is filed under the name Evernia prunastri. RNAcentral describes it as "bacterial LSU rRNA". The stretch from base 449 to 2852 matches the Rfam family "Bacterial large subunit ribosomal RNA", at positions 1 to 2506 of the family's 2925-position model. Lineage: Eukaryota; Fungi; Ascomycota; Lecanoromycetes; Lecanorales; Parmeliaceae. The record is from RNAcentral.